UACGGAAGGCAGCAGUGGGGAAUAUUGCACAAUGGGCGAAAGCCUGAUGCAGCUAUGCCGCGUGUAUGAAGAAGGCCUUAGGGUUGUAAAGUACUUUCAUCGAGGAGGAAAAACAAAACUAAUAAUUUUAUUUCUUGACGUUACCCGAAAAAGAAGCACCGGCUAACUCCGUGCCAGCAGCCGCGGUAAUACGGAGGGUGCUAGCGUUAAUCAGAAUUACUGGGCGUAAAGAGCACGUAGGUGGUUUUUUAAGUCAGAUGUGAAAUCCCUGGGCUUAACCUAGGAACUGCAUUUUGAAACUGAAAUACUAGAGUAUCGUAGAGGGAGGUAGAAUUCUAGGUGUAGCGGUGAAAUGCGUAGAUAUCUGGAGGAAUACCUGUGGCGAAAGCGGCCUCCUAAACGAAUACUGACACUGAGGUGCGAAAGCGUGGGGAGCAAACAGGGAUUAGAUACC
This 454-nucleotide ribosomal RNA is filed under the name uncultured bacterium. RNAcentral's name for it is "bacterial SSU rRNA". It matches the Rfam family "Bacterial small subunit ribosomal RNA", at positions 340 to 786 of the family's 1533-position model. The record is from RNAcentral.